RNAcentral lists this ribosomal RNA (413 nucleotides) under Bacteroidetes bacterium BAL192. RNAcentral describes it as "bacterial SSU rRNA". It matches the Rfam family "Bacterial small subunit ribosomal RNA", at positions 84 to 495 of the family's 1533-position model. Lineage: Bacteria; Pseudomonadati; Bacteroidota. The record is from RNAcentral.
GGAACUAGAGACCGGCGCACGGGUGCGUAACGCGUAUGCAAUCUACCUUGUACAGAGGGAUAGCCCAGAGAAAUUUGGAUUAAUACCUCAUAGUGUUAUUGAAUGGCAUCAUUUAAUAACUAAAGUUCUAACGGUACAAGAUGAGCAUGCGUCCCAUUAGUUAGUUGGUAAGGUAACGGCUUACCAAGACAAUGAUGGGUAGGGGUCCUGAGAGGGAGAUCCCCCACACUGGUACUGAGACACGGACCAGACUCCUACGGGAGGCAGCAGUGAGGAAUAUUGGACAAUGGGCGCAAGCCUGAUCCAGCCAUGCCGCGUGCAGGAUGACUGCCCUAUGGGUUGUAAACUGCUUUUAUACAGGAAGAAACACUGCUACGUGUAGCAGCUUGACGGUACUGUAGGAAUAAGGAUCG